UACGGGGGGGGCGAGCGUUAAUCGGAAUUACUGGGCGUAAAGCGUGCGCAGGCGGUUCGUUGUGUCGGUGGUGAAAUCCCCGGGCUUAACCUGGGAAUGGCCAUGGAAACUGGCGAACUGGAGUGCGGCAGAGGGGGGUGGAAUUCCGCGUGUAGCAGUGAAAUGCGUAGAGAUGCGGAGGAACACCGAUGGCGAAGGCAGCCCCCUGGGCUAGCACUGACGCUGAGGAGCGAAAGCGUGGGGAGCGAACAGG
Molecule: ribosomal RNA, 253 nt
Filed under: uncultured bacterium
Lineage: Bacteria
Description: partial 16S ribosomal RNA
Rfam family: Bacterial small subunit ribosomal RNA
Source: RNAcentral